This 406-nucleotide ribosomal RNA is filed under the name uncultured bacterium. RNAcentral describes it as "partial 16S ribosomal RNA". It matches the Rfam family "Bacterial small subunit ribosomal RNA", at positions 30 to 526 of the family's 1533-position model. The record is from RNAcentral.
AUUGAACGCUGGCGGCAGGCCUAACACAUGCAAGUCGAACGCGUGGCGGAGGGGUGUAUAGUCUCUGGGACACUGCCCGAUGGAGGGGGAUAACUACUGGAAACGGUAUAUAAUAGCGCAUCCCAUGGGUUGUGCCCAGAUGGGAUUAGCUAGUAGGUGGGGUAACGGCUCACCUAGGCGACGAUCCCUAGCUGGUCUGAGAGGAUGAACAGCCACACUGGAACUGAGACACGGUCCAGACUCCUACGGGAGGCAGCAGUGGGGAAUAUUGCACAAUGGGCGCAAGCCUGAUGCAGCCAUGCCGCGUGUAUGAAGAAGGCCUUCGGGUUGUAAAGUACUUUCAGCGGGGAGGCGUUACUCGCAGAAGAAGCACCGGCUAACUCCGUGCCAGCAGCCGCGGUAAUAC